Molecule: microRNA precursor, 78 nt
Filed under: Ascaris suum (pig roundworm)
Lineage: Eukaryota; Metazoa; Nematoda; Chromadorea; Rhabditida; Ascarididae
Description: microRNA asu-mir-100d precursor
Gene: asu-mir-100d
Source: miRBase by way of RNAcentral
GAUGGGCGGUGAACCCGUAUGCUGUUGGGUGUGUUGGGUUCGGUGACACGCUACGGUGUUCGGGUCCACCGAGGCGUC